GACGAACGCUGGCGGCGUGCCUAAUACAUGCAAGUAGAACGAGUUGCGUACGGGUGAGUAACGCGUUGGUAGCUGCCUCAUAGCGGGGGAUAGCUAUUGGAAACGAUAGCUAAUACCACAUCCUGUGAGAUGGACCUGCGUUGUAUUAGCUAGUUGGUGAGGUAAAGGCUCACCAAGGCGACGAUACAUAGCCGACCUGAGAGGCUGAUCGGCCACACUGGGACUGAGACACGGGCCAGACUCCUACGGUAGGUAGCAGUAGGGAAUCUGCGGGAAUGGACGGAAGUCUGACCUAGCAACUGCGCGUGAGUGAAGAAGGUUUUCGGAUCGUACGGCUCUGUUGUUAGAGACGCGGUAACUAGCCAGAAAGGGACGGCUAACUACGUGCCAGCAGCCGCGGUAAUAC
Molecule: ribosomal RNA, 406 nt
Filed under: uncultured bacterium
Lineage: Bacteria
Description: partial 16S ribosomal RNA
Rfam family: Bacterial small subunit ribosomal RNA
Source: RNAcentral